Molecule: long non-coding RNA, 374 nt
Filed under: Zostera marina
Lineage: Eukaryota; Viridiplantae; Streptophyta; Magnoliopsida; Alismatales; Zosteraceae
Description: long non-coding RNA (ZMAR_LNC005759)
Source: RNAcentral
ACAAGCGGUCCACCUCACGCCCUCCGCGCUUAUCCAAUUAUUUGAUCUUACGAUCGCCUAAUCUUCCAAGCCUUUGGGGACUGACUCAAUGAUUCCUAGAACGAUCUAUGCCUCAUCGUUCUCACAUAGUGGGCCUUGGACAAUGGGGAGUGUAAAAACCCUGGUGUGCCCAUGGCCUCUUUUCCUUUUCCAAGGGAAAACUCUGCCAUCACCUUUCGGUCCACUAAUUUGUAAGUGAUUCCACAUAUCGCUUCUACUAAGACUUAGGAAGAUCCUUGUCCCUAUUGGGCCAGGGGUUCCUACUGGACAUGAUUUUAAGUCAGUCCAUUUACCAUACAUGCUAGACAUUUGCCGUUGAUAGGUUUGGGUUCUAU